Molecule: long non-coding RNA, 859 nt
Filed under: Olea europaea subsp. europaea
Lineage: Eukaryota; Viridiplantae; Streptophyta; Magnoliopsida; Lamiales; Oleaceae
Source: RNAcentral
CUUUAUAUUCACUCUCUCUUCAAUGGCCAGUGUGCAUGCAGGUUCCACGGACAUUUAAAACUGGCAACAACAAUUUUCUGACUUAGGAAGAGUGGUGAUCUAUAACAAAGCUUCAUUGAACACUAGCUGCGGGACAUAAUAAUCAGAUUCAGUGUUGUUUCCGGUGGCUCGGCUACUCAUUCUCAGUUGAAGCUCUUUCUCUGUAGCAAGUCUCCUUCCUUUGGCAUUGGGUGGAACUGAGCUUAAAUUCAGCUAUACUCGGGCACAUCUCCUUUGGCAAUACAUAUUUGAUUUCUGAAAUAAAGAAAAAUUUGCUUCAAGCCUUUAGCAAUAUAUGUCCAUGUAAUAUCGGUUCAGGGCAAAUCUUCUUUGGCAAAUUUGAAGUUCCUCCAGUUGGCCAUGCUAGCUGAGGAUGGUUCGACAAUUUUAAGGCCUUGACUUAUAAGAACAGUCAGGAAUACAGACUUUGAGGGCUUAGCUCCAGUUGGUGAUAUUUGACUUGGAAUUUCUACCAGGACCCUUUUUUUGGUCCAUUUUUGGGCAAAUCUCCUUUGGCAUUUUGGAGUCUUGAAUAAGACUCCGUUUAUCCCUUUAGUGGGCAAAUCUCCUUUGGCAUUUAAACUCCAUUUGUGGAGAUAAUAAGACUAUGAAAAUAUUUGGAACAUAAACAGAGAGACUUCACUGUUUGCCCUCGGAUUUUUAUUUUUUUUCCUCUUUUUGGCAAGGCUACUGAUUCCAGUUGCAACUAGAGUUGCAACUUUCUAGUUAUUGUGCAGUCUGGCAGAGGCCUACAUUCCAAAUUACUCAGUCUCGACUAAAGCAUAACCCAAGCGGUACGCCUCUCUACUAUUGUCAUUAC